Molecule: ribosomal RNA, 2686 nt
Filed under: Tessaradoma boreale
Lineage: Eukaryota; Metazoa; Bryozoa; Gymnolaemata; Cheilostomatida; Tessaradomidae
Description: partial large subunit ribosomal RNA
Rfam family: Eukaryotic large subunit ribosomal RNA
Source: RNAcentral
ACCCGCUGAACUUAAGCAUAUCAGUAAGCGGAGGAAAAGAAACUAACUAGGAUUCCCCGAGUAGCGGCGAGCGAAAGGGGAGAAGCCCAGCGCCGAAGCCCGCGACCCCCGGUCGCAGUGCAAUGUGGCGUUUCGGCGGCGACUCGCCGCGACCUCCCCGGCACGUGUACCUCUGAAUGGGUCUGCCCGUAGCGGGUGUCAGGCCUCUAGGUGCCAAAUGGGUGGUCGCGGCACGUCGUCGUCGCGGAGUCGGGUUGCUUGAGAGUGCAGCCCAAAGUGGGUGGUAAGCUCCAUCUAAGGCUAAAUACCUAGUGCGAGACCGAUAGCAAACAAGUACCGUGAGGGAAAGUUGCAAAGAACUUUGAAAAGAGAGUUCAAGAGUACGUGAAACCGUUCAGAGGCAAACGGACGGAACUGGGCGAGUUCGUCGUCGUCAUUCAGCCGCGCGCGCGCCUCUCGGGGCCGCGACGGUGCACUUGGCGGCGGCGGAGCGCGACGACCGCCUGUCGGGUCGUCAGAAGCCCGGCGGCAAGGUGGCGACGCGUUCGCGCGUCGUGUUACAGGCCGCCGAGGCGUUGGCAGACCUGGCGGGCGAGGAGCGCCCGCGGUGCACUCCCACCCGUUAACGCGGGGCGGGAGCGGCCCGACGCGGUGGGCUUGCGGACGCCGGCGACGAACUGCUCGCAGUUUGACGUCGCGCGCUUCGUCUGUCGCGCCGUGCGGUGCCGCGUGGCACCCGGGGUCCGGGUCGUGUGGUUCCUGGCACUCCGUCCGACCCGUCUUGAAACACGGACCAAGGAGUUGAGCACGUGCGCGAGUCGAUGGGCUCUACGAACCCCAGUGGCGCAGCUAAGGCAAAACGGGCGUGAUCCGGCACUGGCGUGUCGGCGCAACGCCGGCCCGCAGCCGACUCGUUGCGAGUGGCUGCGGCGCAAGAGCGUGCGUGCUCAGACCCGAAAGGUGGUGAACUAUGCUUGAGCAGGGCGAAGCCAGAGGAAACUCUGGUGGAGGCUCGCAGCGAUCCUGACGUGCAAAUCGGUCGUCAAACUUGAGCAUAGGGGCGAAAGACUAAUCGAACCGCCUAGUAGCUGGUUCCCUCCGAAGUUUCCCUCAGGAUAGCUGGCACUCGGGAUAAAUGGUUUUAUCCGGUAAAGCGAAUGAUUAGAGGCAUUGGGGACGAAACGUCCUCAACCUAUUCUCAAACUUUAAAUGGGUAAGAGGCGCGACCCUUCCCUAUCGGGGUCGCGUGCUCGAACAGAGAGUGCCCAGUGGGCCGUUUUUGGUAAGCAGAACUGGCGCUGUGGGAUGAACCAAACGUGCGGUUAGGGUGCCUAACGCACGCUCAUGAGAUACCACAAAAGGUGUUGGUUGAUAUAGACAGCAGGACGGUGGCCAUGGAAGUCGGAAUCCGCUAAGGAGUGUGUAACAACUCACCUGCCGAAUCAACUAGCCCUGAAAAUGGAUGGCGCUGGAGCGUGCGACCCAUACCGCACCGUCGGGGCAAUGCGUGCGAAAUGCCAGGCCCCGACGAGUAGGAGGGCGCGUCGGUGGCGUUGAAGCGUAGUGCGUGAGCACGCGUGGAGCCGCCUUCGGUGCAGAUCUUGGUGGUAGUAGCAAGUAUACAAAUGAGAACUUUGUAGACCGAAGUGGAGAAGGGUUCCAUGUGAACAGCAGUUGGACAUGGGUCAGUCGGCCCUAAGAGAUCGGAAAAUUCCGUUCUGAACGGGGAGGUGCGAAGGACAAUGGUGGCCGGCGGCGCGGGUGCCGUCAGACCAGACGUGCUCGAGGGGGCACGAGAGCGGCAGCUCGGCCGGCCACGCACCACGUGAGCAUCCCCGAUGCGAUCGAAAGGGAAUCGGGUUAAUAUUCCCGAACCUGGCAGUGGAGAUUGGGCCCUCGGGCCCCAGUGCGGUAACGCAACCGAACUCGGAGACGCCAGCGUCGAUCCCGGGAAGAGUUCUCUUUUCUUUGUUAGGAGCGGACUCCCUGGAAUUGGCUUGUCCAGAGAUAGGGACGUUGCAUCCGUAAAGCGUCGCGCCUCACGCGGCGUCCGGUGCAUCGGCGUUGGCCCUUGAAAAUCCGAGGAAGGCAGUGUAAUUUUCACUCCAGGCCGUACCCGAAUCCGCAGCAGGUCUCCAAGGUGAACAGCCUCUGGUCGAUAGAACAAUGUAGGUAAGGGAAGUCGGCAAAUCCGAUCCGUAACUUCGGGAUAAGGAUUGGCUCUGAGGUGCGGGCUGCUUCGGGUCGCGGCAAGAAGCGGACCGCGCGUUGGCUGGACUGGGUGCGUUUCGGCGCGCCCGGACCGCCGCCAGCGCGCGUCCGUGGGCGGCCGUGGCUUUCGCCGGCGCUGGCCUCGCGGCCGGCGUCGGCUUCGUUCGGCCUAAACGCACAGCACAGAACUGGCACGGACUCUGGGAACACGACUGUCUAAUUAAAACAAAGCAUCGCGAUGGCCGCUGGUCGGUGUUGACGCGAUGUGAUUUCUGCCCAGUGCUUUGAAUGUCAAAGUGAAGAAAUUCAACCAAGCGCAGGUAAACGGCGGGAGUAACUAUGACUCUCUUAAGGUAGCCAAAUGCCUCGUCAUCUAAUUAGUGACGCGCAUGAAUGGAUUAACGAUGUUCCCACUGUCCCUAUCUACUAUCUAGCGAAACCACAGCCAAGGGAACGGGCUUGGCAAAUACAGCGG